Sinocyclocheilus grahami is the source of this 195-nucleotide long non-coding RNA. RefSeq lists it as uncharacterized. The record is from RefSeq and is a predicted model, not a curated record. Lineage: Eukaryota; Metazoa; Chordata; Actinopteri; Cypriniformes; Cyprinidae. The transcript has 3 exons.
GGAGGCCACUGGAAGCCCAAAGAUUGCAAACCACGCUGGAAGGUGGCCAUUUUAAUCCCCUUUAGGAAUCGUCAUGAGCAUCUUCCGAUUCUCUUUCAGCACCUCGCCCCUAUGCUCCAACGCCAACGCUUGCAGUUUGCCUUUUAUGCCAUUGAACAGACGGGUACUCAGCCGUUUAACCGUGCCAUGCUGUUU